AUGGGAGCUUGCUCCCUGAAGUCAGCGGCGGACGGGUGAGUAACACGUGGGCAACCUGCCUGUAAGACUGGGAUAACUUCGGGAAACCGGAGCUAAUACCGGAUAACACCGAGGACCUCAUGGUCCUUGGUUGAAAGAUGGCUUCGGCUAUCACUUACAGAUGGGCCCGCGGCGCAUUAGCUAGUUGGUGAGGUAACGGCUCACCAAGGCGACGAUGCGUAGCCGACCUGAGAGGGUGAUCGGCCACACUGGGACUGAGACACGGCCCAGACUCCUACGGGAGGCAGCAGUAGGGAAUCUUCCGCAAUGGACGAAAGUCUGACGGAGCAACGCCGCGUGAGCGAUGAAGGCCUUCGGGUCGUAAAGCUCUGUUGUUAGGGAAGAACAAGUACCGUUCGAAUAGGGCGGUACCUUGACGGUACCUAACCAGAAAGCCACGGCUAACUACGUGCCAGCAGCCGCGGUAAUACGUAGGUGGCAAGCGUUGUCCGGAAUUAUUGGGCGUAAAGCGCGCGCAGGCGGUUCCUUAAGUCUGAUGUGAAAGCCCACGGCUCAACCGUGGAGGGUCAUUGGAAACUGGGGAACUUGAGUGCAGAAGAGGAAAGCGGAAUUCCACGUGUAGCGGUGAAAUGCGUAGAGAUGUGGAGGAACACCAGUGGCGAAGGCGGCUUUCUGGUCUGUAACUGACGCUGAGGCGCG
RNAcentral lists this ribosomal RNA (699 nucleotides) under Bacillus sp. (in: firmicutes). RNAcentral's name for it is "bacterial SSU rRNA". It matches the Rfam family "Bacterial small subunit ribosomal RNA", at positions 72 to 755 of the family's 1533-position model. The record is from RNAcentral. Lineage: Bacteria; Bacillati; Bacillota; Bacilli; Caryophanales; Bacillaceae.